RNAcentral lists this transfer RNA (95 nucleotides) under Plantactinospora mayteni. RNAcentral describes it as "tRNA-Arg". The record is from RNAcentral. Lineage: Bacteria; Bacillati; Actinomycetota; Actinomycetes; Micromonosporales; Micromonosporaceae.
GCCGGCCUCGGCCGCCGAGGGCUUGGCCGCCGUCGGUUCCGGCCCUGCGGUCGGUUCCAGCCCUGCGGUCGGUUCCAGCCCUGCGGUCGGUUCCA